Molecule: ribosomal RNA, 412 nt
Filed under: Arthrobacter crusticola
Lineage: Bacteria; Bacillati; Actinomycetota; Actinomycetes; Micrococcales; Micrococcaceae
Description: bacterial SSU rRNA
Rfam family: Bacterial small subunit ribosomal RNA
Source: RNAcentral
GGCUCAGGAUGAACGCUGGCGGCGUGCUUAACACAUGCAAGUCGAACGAUGAAGCCAGCUUGCUGGUGGAUUAGUGGCGAACGGGUGAGUAACACGUGAGUAACCUGCCCUUGACUCUGGGAUAAGCCUGGGAAACCGGGUCUAAUACUGGAUAUGACUGCCGGCCGCAUGGUCUGGUGGUGGAAAGCUUUAUUGCGGUUUUGGAUGGACUCGCGGCCUAUCAGCUUGUUGGCGGGGUAAUGGCCCACCAAGGCGACGACGGGUAGCCGGCCUGAGAGGGUGACCGGCCACACUGGGACUGAGACACGGCCCAGACUCCUACGGGAGGCAGCAGUGGGGAAUAUUGCACAAUGGGCGCAAGCCUGAUGCAGCGACGCCGCGUGAGGGAUGAAGGCCUUCGGGUUGUAAACCU